GACGGAGCGACGUCGCGUGUCCGAAGAAGCCCUUCGGGGUGUAAAGGACUUUUCUAGGGGAAGAAUUAUGACGUUACCCUAGGAAUAAGCCACGGCUAACCUCGUGCCAGCAGCCGCGGUAAUACGAGGGUGGCAAGCGUUACCCGGAAUCACUGGGCAUAAAGCGUCUGUAGGUGGUUUUGAAAGUUUGUUGUUAAAUCCUAAGGCUUAACCUUAGGGCCGCAGCAAAUACUUCAAGACUAGAGGAAGAGAGAGGUAGAUGGAACUCCUAGUGUAGCAAUGAAAUGCGUUGAUAUUAGGGGGAACACCAAAGGCGAAGGCAGUCUACUGGCUUUUUCCUGACACUGAGAGACGAAAGCGUGGGUAGCGAAGGGGAUUAGAUACCCCCGUAGUCCACGCCGUAAACGAUGGAUACUAGACAUAGGGAGAAUCGACCCUUUUUGUGUCGUAGCAAAUGCGUUAAGUAUCCCGCCUGGGGAGUACGGCCGCAAGGCUAAAACUCAAAAGAAUUGACGGGGACCCGCACAAGCGGUGGAGCAUGUGGUUUAAUUCGACAAUAAACGAAGAACCUUACCAAGGUUAGAAAUCUAGCUGCAAAC
Molecule: ribosomal RNA, 599 nt
Filed under: uncultured bacterium
Lineage: Bacteria
Description: bacterial SSU rRNA
Rfam family: Bacterial small subunit ribosomal RNA
Source: RNAcentral